RNAcentral lists this ribosomal RNA (408 nucleotides) under uncultured bacterium. Its description in RNAcentral is "partial 16S ribosomal RNA". It matches the Rfam family "Bacterial small subunit ribosomal RNA", at positions 28 to 526 of the family's 1533-position model. The record is from RNAcentral.
GACGAACGCUGGCGGCGUGCUUAACACAUGCAAGUCGAACGAAGUGGCGAACGGGUGAGUAACGCGUAAUCAAACUGCCCUUCAGAGGGGGACAACCGUUGGAAACGACUGCUACUACCGCAUACUGAAGGAGGGGAUUGCGUCUGAUUGGCUAGUUGGAGGGGUAACGGCCCACCAAGACGAUUAUCAGGAGACGGUCUGAGGUGAGUACCGGCAACAUUGGGGAUGAGACACGGCCCAGAGUCCUACGGAAGGCAGCAGUGGGGAGUCUGCCGCAAUGGACGAAAGUCUGACGGAGCAACGCCGCGUGAGUGAUGACGGCCUUCGGGUUGUAAAGCUCUGUUAAUCGGGACGCGGUACCGGAAUAGAAAGCCACGGCUAACUACGUGCCAGCAGCAGCGGUAAUUC